UUUUUUCUUUCUAAAGCACUUCUUAAAAUUGCCUCUGAUAUUUUUUAAAUGUGCUCAGAAGUCCUAGCUCUGGCAGUUUUUUAACUAAUAAAAUAAACACAGCAAUCAAGUACCUACAGUUCUGUUAACAGUAUUGUUUGUAUUCUAAGCCCUAUCCACAAAGGCUACAGAGAAAAAUAUCCAGUAUAAACAAAUAUUACUUAGAUACCAGUGGCAUCUCAGAGCAGCACACCCAAGUCUUAAAAUGCAAACGGGAGAAAUUUUCCACUCCCACGGCGCAUAACUUCCUGGUGAACCUCAUAUCAGGCAAAAGAGAGAGAAAUUGUCUCUGUUACUGUGAAGCUGGGGAGGAGGUGUGGGUGUGAAGCAAAUCAGUAAUUCUCUUUCUUCAUUUUUUCACCAUCUUUUUCCCCUCCACAUAUCUCUUCUUUUCCAUGAUGUCUUUCUCUUUUCUCAUAUUUCCUGCAUUCAGCAGUUCUCUCAUCUUCUUUCAUUUCCAUCCCCAAUUUUAAAAGAAAAGAUAACUUUGUCCUUUAAUCUCAUCACUUAAGAUCAGCCCCUAAACUUCAUAUAACACUCACAUAAACACUACUGAAUAAUAUUUUCAGUGUAAUGCACAAAUUAGGGCAAGAAGAGAUAAUCUACUGGGCUGGAGUUAGGGCUGGGGGAAAAAAAAUUGCCAUUUGUAUUUGCAAUGUCCAAGCUUCCAGCUGAGAGAGAAGUCAAACUGUAGGAAGGCAGAAGCUUGUUCUGAGAAAUGCUACGAUGAGGUAAGGCAUAAAGAUCCACGCAACCCUAUGAGAAUCACAAUGAGCCAGUACAGCCCAUGUCACCAUGCAGCUGAAACCCAUGGCAAUAGUCACUUCUGAUGCAAUAAUCACUUCCCAGGACAGAGGAAUGUUUCCUUUAAGUUUGACUUUUGAUUCUACAGUCCAAGGCUUAAAAUUGAAGAAGACCUACUGACUGGGUUGAUCCUUUCCACACAGACUCAUCUUCCCAAAACUCUUGCACAUCUUUUUGCAGAUUCUUAGCGCUAUUGCUAAGUUAUGUUCUCUGCCUACAUUUAUCAGUCUUCCCUCACUUAAGGCUUACCAUAAAACUCUGUGUCUUAGUUUUUUUCUCAAUUCCAUAACUGUAAUUAUAUAGUAAUAACCAUAACUUUCGAGUCAAGGUAAUUAAAUAAACUAACAUUUGUAAAGUGUUUAGAACAGUGUUUGGUAAAGAAAGAAUUAUGUAAAAAUUUGUUAAAUAAAAUGAAAAUAAAUUAUCGAUUCAAAUGACAAAAACUCCAUAUGAUGGUAAAACAGACUUCAAACAGAAAAGAACAACUUGUUAGUAUGAGUCAUCAAUCCAGUUGAAUUACCAAAAGAGAUUACCUAAGGAUCAGGCUUUAUCUAAAUAUUUUGUAUUUAACCAGUUCUGGCCUGGUCUUGAGAUAUUUGUCAAGGAAGAAAUAAAUCUGUUGAAACCAGUUUACAAAAUGGAUGUGUGAGAGUUCACCCUUAGUCUGGGAUAUCCUGUAUCUGACUCUUCAGCAUCAUAGUCCUUUGGAUUCUUUUUACAUUAAUUAGAUAAAAUUAUUUAAGAGGCUUCAUUGUAUAGUCUAAAAAAGGAUAGAGUUUGAAGUCAAAUGUUUGGACUAAGGCAAAAGAACUUAUUUUCCCUUGGAGGCGGGGCUAUAAUGAGAUGAAAAGGACAGCUGUUAAGUCAUAAAACUAGAAACAGAAAAAGGCAGAAAAAAAGAUAGGACAAUAGGGAAGGAGAGACAAUGAUGAGAAAAUAAGGUCAGUUUCAUGAGAUGAGUCUGUUUACCAUGCUUAUAAUAUUGGAAUAAAUAAAGAAUAUAAUGAGAUCAAAACUUAUUACAAACAGGAAACAAAUACAUCACAAAUACGGAGCUCCAUAUGUGAAAGGUAUAAAAUGACCUCACGAGAAUAAAAACUCUGGUUUAAACUUUAUCGUCUCUAUUUAAAAACUGCUUUUAAGAUAAAACAAUAUUUUAAAAACAUGUCUGGAGUCUCAGAGUUAAAUUAGCAAAAAUCGGAAAUUAUAUGCUUUUAUUUUUCUAUUAAUAUUUAACAAGAAGUGUAGCUAGUUUUUCAUGAUCAUUAGGAAUAGUAAUUUAGAAGCCUGUAAGGCCGCUAACCAUAUUAAAAAUUAUUUUCGGGCAGCCCUGGUGUCUCAGCGGUUUAGCGCCACCUUCAGCCCAGGGUGUGAUCCUGGAGACGCAGGAUCGAGUACAACGUCGGGCUCCCUGCAUGGAGCCUGCUUAGCUCCGUCUGCCUGUGUCUCUGCCUCUCUCUCUGUGUGUGUGUGUGUGUCUCUCAAGAAUAAAUACAUAAAAUUAAAAAAAUAAAAAUUAAAAAAUUAAAAUUAUUUUCAGGGCAGCCCCAGUGACUCAGCGGUUUAGCGCCACCUUCGGUCCGGGACGUGAUCCUGGAGAUCCGGGAUCCAGUCCCACGUCGGGCUUCCUGCAUGGAGCCUGCUCCUCCCUCUGCCUGUGUCUUUGCCUCUCUGUGUGUGUGUGUGUGUGUCUCUCUCAUGAAUAAAUAAAUAAAAUCUUUAAAAAAAUUAUUUUCAUAGACUGAUUUCAUAAAUGUAACACCCAGAAAUUUUUAAACAAUUCAGCAGAUGUUCUAUAGGUGAUAGAAAUAUAAUGUUAACUUCAAAAAAGAAUCAUAUUUGACUUUUUAAAAACAUGAACGUCAUUUACAAUAAAAUUAAAUUACACUCACAGCAAUUCAAGGGAUAUAAUUGGUUUGCUAUGAAAACAAAUCCUUUGAAUUCUUGUUUAAUAAGAAGUAUUAGUAUUGACAGUUUUAAUCAAGACAAAUGGAAUUGAAAACUUUUCAAAAGUUUAUUAUGUUAAAAAUAUAUAGGGUUGAGGUGCUAAGCUUCUCUAAAUUUUAGCAGCAUGCCUCAAACUUUUGCCAGACGAAAAGUACACUUCCACUAAGCAAGAAAUUUCCAUUACUCUUAUAUUGAGAAGCCACACCCCAUACAACUAAUGACAGGAAAGCAUUUCAAUUCAACUCUAACACUAUCUAGCCUGAAGCAAAGUUUAAAAAAAAAAUACAAAAAUAAAACACAACUUAUAUUUUCAGAGAAGAAAGGAAACUCUUGCUAAAUAAGUAGCAAUUAUGCUGAAGAAUUUAUAUGCUAAGCACGACUGAAUGUAAAAACACCAGAGCAGUCAACCAUAGCUUUAGCACUUUGAGUAUGAUUAACAGAAUGAACUUUCAAAGGUCAAUUAAAUGUCAACACAUUUUAAAGAGAUAUUCUUCUUAAAUCUGGUCAAUGUAUAAUCCCUUGUAAUUUAGGGUUCCCUUCUCAAUUUCAGUGUCCUGUGCAUGUGGUAUAUAUAUAUAUAUAUAUAUAUAUAUAUAUAUAUAUAUAUACACACACACACACACACACACAUAUAUAUACACACACACACACACACAUAUACAUAUGCAGAUUCACAACAUGUCAUCAACUAGAUUACUAUGGAAAGUCACCUAGUGCCUAUCGUAGAGUUUGACUAUUUUAAUGUUUUUCAAUUUAUGAAAUGAUUUUAAAAAUUUAACUACUUACGAUACAGCGCUAUUCAAUGAAGAUAAAAUGCAAAGUAAAAUUUAAAUGCUAAGACUUAUGGUUUAUCCAAUAGCUGACCCCAUUUAUUCCAUUAUAGAAAGUCAUUCACAUGAUAACUCUUUAUUAUCCCUAAUGCAUCAUCCUGCUACCUAAUUUAUCUCCAAUAACCCUUCCCUGAAGGCUUGUGGUUACCAAAAAAAGCUUACCAAAAAAGAUACAUAGCAUUCAAAAAUUGCUGAUCCCAUCAAGGGAUCUGUGGGACAGAACAGGUCCUGAAAGCACUAAGUGCCCAUUCUUAACAUUUUCAUCCAAGAACCAGUAAGAGUCCCAAUUCCAUCCCACAUAAGGAAGGCCCAGUUGUCUCAGAGCCUCAGAAUGAGAAGGCACGCACCAUCAACAUCAUCUGACCCAAAUCUUUCUAUAGCCACAGCUCAGAAAAUGUAGAACCACAAAGGUAGAGCAAAUUAACUUUACUCCCACAGCUCUUUAGUAGACAUCAGGUCUUUAAAACUUACUUAGUUUAGUGUUUUCUUCUCUAUAUCAAAUUUAUGCUAUGUUUUUUCUCCAUUAGGACUUUAAGACCAGGUUAUAAUUGACCAAAUAGCUGUGCUUAUCAUAGACAUUCAGAGCAAGAUGGAAUCUUUAAGGAAUGAUGAUAUGGGAAGGCUCUAAAGAGGAGCUGGAAAUUGAAGAAUGGAUAGAAUCUAGGUGGUUCAAAAGGAGGCAUCACUAAUGAGGCAAUAGGCAAUAUGGGCUAGGGCCUGGUGGUGAGUAGGCCAUGUUCCAGGAACUAUGGGGAGAAUGUAUUUAGAGUAGGAUGGGAUACUGUUUUUAUGGCUGCUGUAUAAGCCAGGCAGUGGAAGUUCAAUCUGAUAUUGGAACACAUAGAAAACGAUGAAAGGAUUUUGAUUUUAAGAAAAAUGAUGCAAAGAUAGCAAAGACUAGCCUUGCAAUAGGUUUGCAAGAGAAUGGAGAUGGGGAGAGGAAGAUUUGAUGAGCCUCAUAGGGGUCUGUCUACUAAUGUUAAUAUUUUACAGGACUGUAAGAAAAAAGUGAGCUAAUGAGAGACAAAGUACUUCAAAAAGUAGAAGAGCUCUAGAAAGUAAACGUAUUAUUCAAAGUCAGGGGGCAGUGGCCUCUCUGAUCACUCUGCCAUGUCUUGAUGGCAUACACUUCUCUGAAAAGGCAAAUUUAGAGUUGGAUACUGGAUCUAUUUGCUUGGGAUCAGAGAGAGAAUAUCUCUUCCCUUCCAUAAUUCCAAAGGCUAGAUGCCAAGAGAAGACACAGUUGCCACCUCUGAGCUACUGCAAGGUUGAGGAUCACAGACACUAAAAUCCAAAACCAGUAUUAACAUUUUGAGGCAGACUACACAAUCAGUGUUUCUCAAAAUGAGUUAAAAAAAAAAAAAAAAAA
RNAcentral lists this long non-coding RNA (4989 nucleotides) under Canis lupus familiaris (dog). Its description in RNAcentral is "lncRNA (ENSCAFG00845010279.1)". Lineage: Eukaryota; Metazoa; Chordata; Mammalia; Carnivora; Canidae. The record is from RNAcentral.